This 231-nucleotide unclassified non-coding RNA is filed under the name Hevea brasiliensis (rubber tree). The record is from RNAcentral. Lineage: Eukaryota; Viridiplantae; Streptophyta; Magnoliopsida; Malpighiales; Euphorbiaceae.
GCCUGAAUUGCAAUACUAUAAAUUGCUUUAGUCUCUCACAUUUUUAAAUUUGCAUAUCUUUAAAAUGAAAAGAACCUACUCGUUAAUUAAGCUAAACCUCGGAAAGGUUCUAGUGAUUUUCCCUAAUAAAUACAAUACACAAUUUCAAUCUCAUGCGUGUUCUACCACAACAAAAGGUCAUGGAAAAGUGAAACAAUAAUUUAGAAGAUUACAGAUCAAAACUAGCUAUAA